UGCGUAGGUGGUUCAGCAAGUUGGAGGUGAAAUCCCCGGGCUCAACCUGGGAACUGCCUCCAAAACUACUGAGCUAGAGUACGGUAGAGGGUAGUGGAAUUUCCUGUGUAGCGGUGAAAUGCGUAGAUAUAGGAAGGAACACCAGUGGCGAAGGCGACUACCUGAACUGAUACUGACACUGAGGUGCGAAAGCGUGGGGAGCAAACA
RNAcentral lists this ribosomal RNA (207 nucleotides) under uncultured bacterium. RNAcentral describes it as "partial 16S ribosomal RNA". It matches the Rfam family "Bacterial small subunit ribosomal RNA", at positions 568 to 774 of the family's 1533-position model. The record is from RNAcentral.